UUAGAUUAGAAAUAGGAAAAUGUUAGUAGAACAAAAAUACUAAAAUAUUAUUUUGUCAAAUAUAUUUCCAAAUGUCACGCUCUCAUGCGUCGUCGUCACGUUGGACCAGCCUCAAUGAGGAAUGGAACAGCUUCUUGCAAAUGUGCCUAGUAAGAAUUAACAUAUAGUUACUUGAAUGUUAAUUCUGUUUUGUGCUUGAAUGCCUGCUAAUUGCUUGAAUGUUAAUCAUGUCAUAAUUAACAAUUAAAGAGCAGAGGGAAUGGAGGGAAUUGGCAAACAUGAUGCAGAAUGUGGUGGCUCCACCAGAGGCUUUUUUUCAGACCAUUCACGCUAGGGACCAGAUUUUUCGGUGAAGUUGGUAAGGUAUAUGCUGUCAGGUGGAAUGACGUACUGGACGGUGUGUGGCAUUUGGUUGACAAAGACGAAAAUUAUCAUAACGUUGUGUAUAACAAAGAUUUAGACCAACCAGCCAUUGUAGCAGGGUGGACAACAUUACGAGAUUUUUACCAGCUGACCGGAGAUCAUCUAGUAUCCUUGCAUUUUUAUGGUAGCAGUGCAUUUUUUCUUACCAUAUUCAAGAUCAGUUGCUUGCCCAGAUCAUUCCCAAGAUGACACUUUUUAUACCAUCAAGUGUCAGGUUCUGUCACCUUCAAGGUUUAUCUCACUGAGCAGAAAGUUACCUGUAACAAUCUGGACGUUCCAAGUAGCAUGUAUUAUUUUCUUAAAGACAAAGGCUGGACACAUUUGCACUUGGAGGACGUUGUAGAUUGUCCGCUCAUGUUCAACCAUUAUAGGAAGACACUUAAAAUUGGAGUCGGAUGGAAACAUUUUUGCGAGACGUUAUCGUUGAUCGCUGACAUGAAAAUAGUUUUUGAAUUCAUUGAUCCCAAUGUUAACCGUGUGCUCUAUUGGCCGUGUUUAUGAACAAUUUAGGAUUUUGAACAUUUUAAUUAUUAUGAACAU
Long non-coding RNA from Glycine soja, 963 nucleotides. RefSeq lists it as uncharacterized. The transcript is spliced from 3 exons. The record is from RefSeq and is a predicted model, not a curated record. NCBI's taxonomy places the organism in Eukaryota, Viridiplantae, Streptophyta, Magnoliopsida, Fabales, Fabaceae.